Molecule: long non-coding RNA, 203 nt
Filed under: Cicer arietinum (chickpea)
Lineage: Eukaryota; Viridiplantae; Streptophyta; Magnoliopsida; Fabales; Fabaceae
Description: long non-coding RNA (CARI_LNC002646)
Source: RNAcentral
UUUUGACAAGCUCAAGUCUGAUUGAGUGAUUAAUGUUUUGCUUGGCACUUUGAGUUGUUUUUGUUCUUCAUCGUGAAGCUUUACUUAUAGGCUUCAAGAGAGCUUAUGACAACACAUUUAACCGUUGGAAGUAGGCCAACUGUCAUGAGUAAGUGAAUGGAUAAGAUCAGCCAUAUAGCAGGAUUGUUUAUACUGAAGCGAGG